CAGUCGCCGCGGGAAUACGAAGGGUGCAAGCGUUACUCGGAAUUACUGGGCGUAAAGCGUGUGUAGGUGGUUGUUUAAGUCUGUCGUGAAAGCCCUGGGCUCAACCUGGGAAUUGCGAUGGAUGCUGGGCGACUAGAGUGCGGUAGAGGAUAGUGGAAUUUCCGGUGUAGCAGUGAAAUGCGUAGAGAUCGGAAGGAACAUCUGUGGCGAAGGCGACUAUCUGGGCCAACACUUACACUGAGACACGAAAGCGUGGGGAGCAAACAGGAUUAGAUACCCCCGUAGUCCCUGUCUCUUAUAC
This 301-nucleotide ribosomal RNA is filed under the name uncultured bacterium. Its description in RNAcentral is "partial 16S ribosomal RNA". It matches the Rfam family "Bacterial small subunit ribosomal RNA", at positions 509 to 807 of the family's 1533-position model. The record is from RNAcentral.